Molecule: ribosomal RNA, 711 nt
Filed under: Triticum aestivum (bread wheat)
Lineage: Eukaryota; Viridiplantae; Streptophyta; Magnoliopsida; Poales; Poaceae
Description: partial small subunit ribosomal RNA
Source: RNAcentral
AUGGGGUCAUGCGUGCUAGUGAUGCUGAUGAAGGGCGAGGACGUGCAUGUGAUGAAUAUCGGGGACAGUCGUGUCGUGUUGGCGAGGAGGCGGGACCCCGAUCUUAAUAACAUCCUCGGCAAAGCAACACCGAAGGAUCUGCAGCAGUUGAAGGCCGAGAUCAUGGAUGGCCUACAGUCUGUGCAGUUCAAUGAUGAACACAAUACCUCUGUUGAGGAGGAGGUAAAGAGGAUCACAGUUGAACAUACUGAUAGCAAUGCGAUCAUCCACGGCAGAGUGAAGGGGAAACUCAACAUCACCAGAGCAUUCGGGGCUGGCUACCUGAAGGAGCCAAAGUGGAACAGUGUGUUGUUACCGUCCUUCAAGAUUGAUUACAUCGGCAAGGGCCCCUACAUAAUUUGCAUCCCAUCACUCCACCACUACCGUAUCGGUCCAAACGACCAAUUCCUAGUGUUGUCGUGUGGCGGGCUCUAUCAGUAUUUCACCAACAAAGAGGUGGUUGAUGAGGUAGAGAUGUUCACAGCUGUGUAUCCCAAGGGCAAUCCUACUGAGCAUCUCGUUAGAGAAUUGGUACUUCGGGCUGCAAGGAAGUCUGGUAUGGACUACCAUGAACUGCUCAACAUAUCCCAUGACAAAAGGAGGAGGUACCAUGAUGAUGUUUCCGUCAUCAUGAUCUCGUUCAAGGGGAGGAUGUGGAGAUCCCCCGUUUAG